UUUCAAUGUUGCUGGACGAAUAGUAGUCGUACAGGGGCUGACUCACUGAACAGUUUCUGAACAGAAUGAAAACGAGAGAGAGAGAGUUGGGCAAAAGGUGGAGGAAUUGAGAUCAACCUGAAUCUAAUAUCCUGAUACAAAGAUGAUCUGGUCAAGUUGGAUAGCUCGUACGAGUAUGCUGAUUCGUCAGAAUCUCUUGAUUGGGUGCAAGAAAUCGAAGGCUGAAAUAACGAUGAAUUGCUUAUGAAUUUUUGGUGUUCAUGAAGGAAUGAAGCUCGUUUCCAUCACAUUUUAUUACAAAAUUUCUAUCAAAUGAUGCAAGAUUACAUAUGGGAAUAACUUAAUAAUUAUUUACCAGUGAUAGAACUUUGAAUGCUAUGCCAUUAAGACAAUCCUUUUCUUUACUCCUUAACCCUCUUCAAAUUCUUAGAUCAAGACCAAACUUCUAAGUCAUUUAGACACCUAAAUAAGUCGAGAACUUGAAAGAAGAAAUUUUUUUUCUUUCUCUCUCUUUCUCGUGAAUCAUUUCUGAAGUUUGUCAAGUUUUUGACUUCCAGAGGGGGGAGGGGAGGAUUUAAGCAUAGUUUAAAAAGAUUCAAAAGUGUUUAACGAGAAAUUCUCGUGAAGAAACUAAAGAUCGAUUCGAACAGCGUCCUUUUGAAGAUCCUCGAGUAAGAAACAAUGAUCUGUGACCUGGAAGUAAUGAUGUGCUUAUGAGAACACGAGUUUUGCCCAGUAAGACAUUGACAAAUUAUCGUUGAAGAAUCUGAUCCAAAAGUAUAUCCUCUAAUUCCUUCGAAACUUGAACUUAUACAUUAUAUAUAUAUAUAUAUAUAAUUGAAACGAUCCCAACAAUAGAAUUAAAUAGGAUGGAGUAAAAAUGAAAUAAAAUUGUGAAAGUCUUUCAAUGUUGCUGGACGAAUAGUAGU
Long non-coding RNA from Apis laboriosa (Himalayan honeybee), 929 nucleotides. RefSeq lists it as uncharacterized. The record is from RefSeq and is a predicted model, not a curated record. The transcript has 3 exons. Lineage: Eukaryota; Metazoa; Arthropoda; Insecta; Hymenoptera; Apidae.